RNAcentral lists this ribosomal RNA (786 nucleotides) under Triticum aestivum (bread wheat). Its description in RNAcentral is "partial small subunit ribosomal RNA". The record is from RNAcentral. Lineage: Eukaryota; Viridiplantae; Streptophyta; Magnoliopsida; Poales; Poaceae.
CGGAUAGGCAACAGAGAUGGUGGCAUGUGGCUUCGCAUCAUUCAGCAGAAAUACCUCCGAGGCCAGCCUCUCGCCUUCUGCCAGCGAUCUGGGGGCUCCCAGUUCUGGCAAUCCAUCAUUCAGCUCCUCCCUGUCCUCCAGAUCGGGACCUUGAUCGAGAUUGGUUCCGGCACCGCCACGCUGUUCUGGUUCGAUCGCUGGACUGGUGACAUGCCCCUUGCGGCCCGCUUUCUAGACCUGUUCUCCAUCGCGGUUGCCCAACAGAUCUCCAUGGCGACCGCCCUUGUUGACUUAGGGCGGCUUGCGUUCCGGAGACCUUUUGGUCCGGCUGAGAAUGCGGACUGGCAGGAGUUGCUUGACUGCAUUGCACUCCAUGAGCCUGAUCUCACGACAGACGAUGACCGCGCCAGAUGGCGCCUCGAGCCGUCUGGUCAAUUCUCCACCAAAUCACUCUACCUGGCCAUCGCCCCCUCGCUCGGCCAUGAGGUGCUCUGCUCCAUAUGGGAGAUUCGCCUUCCCCUGAAAAUUAGGAUCUUCUUGUGGCAAUGGAUUCAUGGCCGCCUUCCAUCUGACGUAGAGGUUCUAAAGCGCAAUGGCCCUGGUGAUGGGCAUUGCCCGCUCUGUGGGCCUGAAGAAGAUUCGAAUCAUAUCUUCUUCACCCGCGUGUCUGCGCAGUUCCUAUGGAGCUGUUUUCACGAGAUUGUGGGUGGAAGCUGGGACCAUAACAACUUCCCCGCUCUCUUUGCCGAACUCCAGGCGACCCCCUCCCUUGUUGUGCCACAUUAG